GACGAACGCUGGCGGCGUGCUUAACACAUGCAAGUCGAACGGAAAGGCCCUGCUUUUGUGGGGUGCUCGAGUGGCGAACGGGUGAGUAACACGUGAGUAACCUGCCCUUGACUUUGUGAUAACUUCAGGAAACUGGGGCUAAUAUCGGAUAGGAGCUCCUGCUGCAUGGUGGGGGUUGGAAAGUUUCGGCGGUUGGGUAUGGACUCGCGGCUUAUCAGCUUGUUGGUGGGGUAGUGGCUUACCAAGGCUUUGACGGGUAGCCGGCCUGAGAGGGUGACCGGCCACAUUGGGACUGAGAUACGGCACAGACACCUACGGGAGGCAGCAGUGGGGAAUAUUGCACAAUGGGCGGAAGCCUGAUGCAGCAACGCCGCGUGCGGGAUGACGGCCUUCGGGUUGUAAACCGCUUUCGCAUGUGACGAAGCGUGAGUGACGGUAAUGGGUAAAGAAGCACCGGCUAACUACGUG
RNAcentral lists this ribosomal RNA (468 nucleotides) under uncultured bacterium. Its description in RNAcentral is "partial 16S ribosomal RNA". It matches the Rfam family "Bacterial small subunit ribosomal RNA", at positions 28 to 507 of the family's 1533-position model. The record is from RNAcentral.